CAGUAGCCCUGAUAGAAGUGGAAAUCCUUUAUGUUAGCGAUAGCGAAAUAAAGAUUGAAACUUCCCGAAGCAUCG
RNAcentral lists this small RNA (75 nucleotides) under Flavobacterium weaverense. Its description in RNAcentral is "Flavo-1 RNA". Lineage: Bacteria; Pseudomonadati; Bacteroidota; Flavobacteriia; Flavobacteriales; Flavobacteriaceae. The record is from RNAcentral.